RNAcentral lists this ribosomal RNA (318 nucleotides) under Odontobuthus doriae. Its description in RNAcentral is "partial 16S ribosomal RNA". The record is from RNAcentral. Lineage: Eukaryota; Metazoa; Arthropoda; Arachnida; Scorpiones; Buthidae.
UCUUUUAAUUGGGGACUGGAAUGAAGGAGUAAACCGGGAGAAAUUUUUUUGAAUUAAGAUGAUGAAUUUCAUUUUUUAGUAAGAAGGCUAAAAUAUUUCUUUUAGACGAGAAGACCCUAUAAAACUUUAUAUUUUUUACUUUUAGAAAAAUUAAAAAAUAUUUCACUGGGGUGGUGAAGGAAAAAUCUUCCUUUAAAAAUUUUGAACUUACUAGUUUUUUAUACCUAGAAUUUCUAAAAGAGAAAUGAGUUACUUUAGGGAUAACAGCUUAAUUUAUUUUGAAAGAUCAAAUUGACGAAUAAGUUUAUGACCUCGAUG